RNAcentral lists this ribosomal RNA (424 nucleotides) under uncultured bacterium. Its description in RNAcentral is "bacterial SSU rRNA". It matches the Rfam family "Bacterial small subunit ribosomal RNA", at positions 355 to 775 of the family's 1533-position model. The record is from RNAcentral.
UGAGGAAUAUUGGUCAAUGGGCGCAAGCCUGAACCAGCCAUCCCGCGUGCAGGAAGACGGCGCUAUGUGUUGUAAACUGCUUUUCCAGGGAGAGAAACUUGCGCACGUGUUGCGCAAUUGACGGUACCCUGGGAAUAAGCAUCGGCUAACUCCAUGUCAGCAGCCGCGGUAAUACGGAGGAUGCGAGCGUUAUCCGGAUUCAUUGGGUUUAAAGGGUGCGUAGGCGGACUAUUAAGUCAGUGGUGAAAUCCUGCAGCUUAACUGCAGAACUGCCAUUGAUACUGAUAGCCUUGAGUUUGGUUAAGGUAGGCGGAAUGUGUAAUGUAGCGGUGAAAUGCUUAGAUAUUACACAGAACACCAAUUGCGUAGGCAGCUUACUGAGCCGACACUGACGCUGAGGCACGAAAGCGUGGGGAUCGAACAG